CUCCAAUCACCGUCUGUGUGAUGCGGUCCUGAACAACACAAAAGAGAUUGUAUAUUAUCCAAAUAUGGUUUCGAGGUGAUCAAACUCUUCAAAGUUUCAAUACAAACACUUAUUAUUAUUUAGAUUAUUUUUCUUUUCUUUUAAUAGAAUUUAUUUUUUAUAAAUGACAUUCGCCAAUUUAGGCUUAAUAAGAUAUGUAUUUUACAAGCAUACACAAUUACAAACGAAAACGAAAAUUGUCUGCGCCGACAAGGAGGAGGAGGUUAGACAAUCUGGAUGGUGGCCGGAAGCAACGAAUCCUAACAACUAGAACCGGCGAAUACAAAGCCUACUACUUUGCGACCAUGUCAACAGGUUCGGGAUCAUUGACCAAAGUAUCCAGUUUCCGUCUCCGAUCCUAUCCGAUCCGACGACUCGCCUGACAUCUCAUUCUCGAAUUUAUGCCUAGAAAAAUGGCUAAUGCAGAUUUAAGUCCUCGACUACCGAAGCCGUCAACCGACAACCCUUUUCGAGAAAACAAUCUUCAUAUCCGGUCCAAUGAAAGCGAAUCGCGGAAACUUAAGAAGGAUGAUGGCUCAAACAAUUUCUCAAAAGCCGGAUCCAGUGAAAACCAUUUCAGACCCAGAGAUAAUUUUUCUAUAAUAAUAUUUGUUAUAUUUAAAUUCAAAUAUUAAUAUUUGAAAAACGCUAAAGAGACAAACUCAACAAAUUAUAUUGGGGCUGAUUGGUUAAAACUUUUAAAACUUUAGAAAUUUUUUUAACCGUUCUCAAAGUUUGUUUUUCUCUAAUUAAGGGGCCGAUUG
Molecule: long non-coding RNA, 803 nt
Filed under: Arabidopsis lyrata
Lineage: Eukaryota; Viridiplantae; Streptophyta; Magnoliopsida; Brassicales; Brassicaceae
Description: long non-coding RNA (ALYR_LNC002503)
Source: RNAcentral